GUUCUUAUAGUUGAAUUACAACAGCAGUUUUUCAGACUGUGGGUCUAGGUUAAAAUCCUUGUAAGAAUU
Molecule: transfer RNA, 69 nt
Filed under: Bufotes pewzowi
Lineage: Eukaryota; Metazoa; Chordata; Amphibia; Anura; Bufonidae
Also listed under: 1 other name
Description: tRNA-Glu
Rfam family: tRNA
About the family: Transfer RNA (tRNA) molecules are approximately 80 nucleotides in length. Their secondary structure includes four short double-helical elements and three loops (D, anti-codon, and T loops).
Source: RNAcentral